RNAcentral lists this ribosomal RNA (1328 nucleotides) under human gut metagenome. Its description in RNAcentral is "bacterial LSU rRNA". It matches the Rfam family "Bacterial large subunit ribosomal RNA", at positions 1103 to 2461 of the family's 2925-position model. The record is from RNAcentral.
AGCUUGGAAGCAGCUAUUCAUUCAAAGAGUGCGUAACAGCUCACUAGUCGAGCGGCAAAGCGUGGAUAAUAAACGGGCAUCAAGUAUACCACCGAAGUUCUGGGCACGAAAGUGCGGUAGGGGAGCAUUCCAUUCCGCGUUGAAGCCGAACCGUGAGGUUUGGUGGAGUGUAUGGAAAAGCAAAUGUAGGCAUGAGUAACGAUAAUGCGGGAGAGUAACCCGCACACCGCAAGACCAAGGUUUCCUGAUCAACGCUAAUCGGAUCAGGGUUAGUCGGGUCCUAAGGGUAAGCCGAACGGUGAUCUCGAUGGAUAAUCGGUUAAUAUUCCGAUACUGACAUAUACCUCGAUGGAGAGACGAAGGAACGUAAGUGCCGCCACCUGACGGAAUAGGUGGUUAAAGGGCUUAGGUAUAGGGGCAGAUUAAGAGUUAGUCCUUGCUGAAACCUGACAGUACAGAGAGCCUACGGGCAAUUUGAUAGUGCACCCAAGUCGACUUCCGAGAAAAUCUUCUAAGUUAUAGUAUAUGUCACCCGUACCGUAAACCGACACAGGUGGUCGAGGAGAGUAUCCUAAGGUGCUCGAGUGAAUCACGGUUAAGGAACUAGGCAAAUUAACCCCGUAACUUCGGGAAAAGGGGUCCCAUCGCGAGGUGGGCGCAGCGAAGAGGUCCAGGCGACUGUUUAUCAAAAACACAGGGCUCUGCAAAUUCGAAAGAAGACGUAUAGGGCCUGACACCUGCCCGGUGCUGGAAGGUUAAGAGGGGAUGUCAUCGCAAGAGAAGCAUUGAAUCGAAGCCCCAGUAAACGGCGGCCGUAACUAUAACGGUCCUAAGGUAGCGAAAUUCCUUGUCGGGUAAGUUCCGACCUGCACGAAUGGUGUAACGAUCUGGACACUGUCUCAACCGUGAGCUCGGUGAAAUUGUAGUCCCGGUGAUGAUGCCGGGUACCCGCAACGGGACGAAAAGACCCCGUGAACCUUUACUAUAGCUUAACGCUGAAUUUGGGUACACAAUGUGUAGGAUAGGCAGGAGACUACGAAGCGGGCACGCCAGUGUUCGUGGAGUCGACGUUGAAAUACUGCCCUUUGUGUACUUGAGUUCUAACCCUCGAGAGGGGACACCGUUUGGUGGGUAGUUUGACUGGGGUGGUCGCCUCCAAAAGAGUAACGGAGGCUUCCCAAGGUACCCUCAGCACGAAUGGUAACCGUGCGUAGAGUGCAAUAGCAUAAGGGUGCUUGACUGUGAGACCAACAAGUCGAUCAGGUGCGAAAGCAGGGUAUAGUGAUCCGGUGGUUCUGCGUGGACUGGCCAUCGCUCAAAGGAUAAAA